Molecule: long non-coding RNA, 233 nt
Filed under: Prunus dulcis (almond)
Lineage: Eukaryota; Viridiplantae; Streptophyta; Magnoliopsida; Rosales; Rosaceae
Description: sRNA ncRNA
Source: RNAcentral
AUUUCACCUACAUCACAAUGAAUGGCAGUUUGGGCAAACUAAUGGCCACACCAACCCACACUAAAUACCCAACACCCAUGGACCCCAACCCCACACCAAACCCAACCCUUGCCAUUACUGAAGGAGGGGACACCGAAACACCUGCCAAAGCAGCAACAGAAGACACUGAAGACUGGGUCCAUGGACUGCAGCAAUGUCGAGCCAAUACCAUGUUCUGGAAAAAUCUCCAUGCA